Molecule: ribosomal RNA, 899 nt
Filed under: Lopadostoma pouzarii
Lineage: Eukaryota; Fungi; Ascomycota; Sordariomycetes; Xylariales; Xylariaceae
Description: LSU rRNA
Rfam family: Eukaryotic large subunit ribosomal RNA
Source: RNAcentral
GCAUAUCAAUAAGCGGAGGAAAAGAAACCAACAGGGAUUGCCUUAGUAACGGCGAGUGAAGCGGCAACAGCUCAAAUUUGAAAUCUGGCCUUCGGGUCCGAGUUGUAAUUUGUAGAGGAUGCUUUUGGUGCGGUGCCUUCCAAGUUCCCUGGAACGGGACGCCUUAGAGGGUGAGAGCCCCGUACGGUUGGACACCUAGCCUCUGUAAAGCUCCUUCGACGAGUCGAGUAGUUUGGGAAUGCUGCUCUAAAUGGGAGGUAAACUUCUUCUAAAGCUAAAUACCGGCCAGAGACCGAUAGCGCACAAGUAGAGUGAUCGAAAGAUGAAAAGCACUUUGAAAAGAGGGUUAAAUAGCACGUGAAAUUGUUGAAAGGGAAGCGUUUGCGACCAGACUUUCUCUAGGCGGAUCAUCCGGUGUUCUCACCGGUGCACUUCGUCUAGUUUAGGCCAGCAUCGGUUUCUGCAGGGGGAUAAAGGCCUGGGGAAUGUAGCUCCUUCGGGAGUGUUAUAGCCCCUCGCGUAAUACCUUUGCGGGGACCGAGGACCGCGCUUCGGCAAGGAUGCUGGCAUAAUGGUCGUCAACGACCCGUCUUGAAACACGGACCAAGGAGUCGAACAUUUGUGCGAGUGUUUGGGUGUUAAACCCUCACGCGUAAUGAAAGUGAACGGAGGUGAGAGCCCUUACGGGUGCAUCAUCGACCGAUCCUGAUGUCUUCGGAUGGAUUUGAGUAAGAGCAUAACUGUUCGGACCCGAAAGAUGGUGAACUAUGCGUGGAUAGGGUGAAGCCAGAGGAAACUCUGGUGGAGGCUCGCAGCGGUUCUGACGUGCAAAUCGAUCGUCAAAUCUGCGCAUGGGGGCGAAAGACUAAUCGAACCAUCUAGUAGCUGGUUACCGCCGA